AUGGAAUUCCGGGAAUAUCUGUCGGAGACGAGGCUCGGGGGACGCUUCCCGACGAUUCCAGGGAGGAAUUCCCGAUUCCCACCGGGAAGGGUUUCCCUGGAUCUGAUGCCAAAGCCGAUCGGUCCCGCUGGACCCAAUUCCUUGGAGAGAGAAAUAAAGGAUUGCCGGAAGCUCGGGAGAGUCUGGAAUCUUCCCGCGGGAUAUGGGGAGGGAGGAGGGGCUGGGAAAGGAGGAUCCCGAUCCCCUGGGAUCGCAGCUUUGCCUCCAGUAAUUCCCUCGGGAUCUGGGAGAGGAGGAUUGCCGGAAGCUCGGGAGAGUCUGGAAUCUUCCCGCGGGAUAUGGGGAGGGAGGAGGGGCUGGGAAAGGAGGAUCCCGAUCCCCUGGGAUUGCGGGAUCACAGGAUCGCCUCCAGUAAUUCCCUCGGGAUCUGGGAAAGGAGGAUCCCGAUCCCCUGGGAUCACGGCUUUGCCUCCAGUAAUUCCCUCAGGAUCUGGGAGAGGAGGAUUCCGAUCCCCUGGGAUCGCAGCUUUGCCUCCAGCUAUUCCCUUGGGAUCUGGGAGAGGAGGAUUCCGAUCCCCUGGGAUCGCAGCUUUGCCUCCAGUAAUUCCCUCGGGAUCUGGGAAAGGAGGAUCUCGAUCCUUUGGGAUCUCAACAUCAUCUCCAGUUCUUUUCCUCAGGAUCUGGGAGAGGAAGACCCCAAUUCUUUGGGAUCUCAGCUUUGCUUCCAGUCCUUCCAGCGGAGGACUGGGAGAGGAGGAUCCCGAUCCCCUGGGAUUGCGGGAUCGCAGGAUCACCUCCAGUAAUUCCCUCGGGAUCUGGGUGAGGAGAAUCCCGAUCCCCUGGGAUCUCAGUUCCUUCCCUUGGGAUUUGGGACAGGAGGAUCCCAAUCCUUUGGGAUCUUGGCUCCUUCCCUCGGGAUCUGCGGGGGGUGGAGGGCUCAGAGAGGAGGAUCUGGAUCCUCUGGGAUUCUCCCUCGCUGCCACUCCAGCAGGGACUGGGAAACGCUGGAUUUUCCUUGGGAUAAGGCUCGACCCCACUCCUGAGCUUUCCCGGGAUGAGGGAGAGGAAGGGAGGAGAGGACGUGGCUCGGAGCUCAUCCAGGGAUUUCCUUUGGGAAAAGGAAUUCCUGGAGCAAGGCCAAGCUGGACAGGGCUUGGAGCAGCCGGGAAUGGAGGGAAGUGUCAGGGUGGGAAUGGGAUGGAAUUCCAGGGCCCUUUCGCUUUGUCCUGCCCUGCGGCCCUUUCCCAAAUCCCAACUCUCCCGGAGCCCCUGGAGCCUCGGGAAGCGGCUCCCAGGAUUCCCGGGAUCCUUCCCUGA
This 1317-nucleotide long non-coding RNA is filed under the name Cyanistes caeruleus (blue tit). RNAcentral describes it as "lncRNA (ENSCCEG00000020210.1)". Lineage: Eukaryota; Metazoa; Chordata; Aves; Passeriformes; Paridae. The record is from RNAcentral.